AUUGAACGCUGGCGGAAUGCUUUACACAUGCAAGUCGAGCGGCAGCGCGGCCUUCGGGCUGGCGGCGAGCGGCGAACGGGUGAGUAAUGCAUCGGAACAUGCCCAGUCGUGGGGGAUAACACUUCGAAAGAAGUGCUAAUACCGCAUACGUCCUGAGGGGGAAAGCGGGGGAUCGCAAGACCUCGCGCGAUUGGAGUGGCCGAUGUCAGAUUAGCUAGUUGGUGGGGUAAAGGCCUACCAAGGCGACGAUCUGUAGCUGGUCUGAGAGGAUGAUCGGCCACACUGGGACUGAGACACGGCCCAGACUCCUACGGGAGGCAGCAGUGGGGAAUUUUGGACAAUGGGGGCAACCCUGAUCCAGCCAUUCCGCGUGAGUGAAGAAGGCCUUCGGGUUGUAAAGCUCUUUCGGCAGGAACGAAACGGUGGGCUCUAACAUAGUCCGCUAAUGACGGUACCUGAAGAAGAAGCACCGGCUAACUACGUG
Molecule: ribosomal RNA, 484 nt
Filed under: uncultured bacterium
Lineage: Bacteria
Description: partial 16S ribosomal RNA
Rfam family: Bacterial small subunit ribosomal RNA
Source: RNAcentral